ACGAGCUUCUAGCUUAAAACCCAAAGGACUUGACGGUACCCCACCCUACUAGAGGAGCCUGUUCUAUAAUCGAUAACCCACGAUAUACCAAACCAUUUCUUGCCUCAGCCUGUAUACCUCCGUCGUAAGCUUACCCUGUGAAUGCACAUAGUAGGCUCAAAGGCCUAACACCCAAACGUCAGGUCAAGGUGCAGCCUAUGAAAUGGAAGCUAUGGGCUACAAUUUCUAAUCUUAGAACUAAUCAAAAUACUACAUGAAAUAUAGUUAUAAAGAAGGAUUUAGCAGUAAAUAAGGAAUAGAGAGCCUUAUUGAACCUGAGCUCUGGGGUAUGUACACACC
RNAcentral lists this ribosomal RNA (339 nucleotides) under Raorchestes wynaadensis. RNAcentral describes it as "partial 12S ribosomal RNA". It matches the Rfam family "Bacterial small subunit ribosomal RNA", at positions 882 to 1391 of the family's 1533-position model. The record is from RNAcentral. Lineage: Eukaryota; Metazoa; Chordata; Amphibia; Anura; Rhacophoridae.